Long non-coding RNA from Ictalurus punctatus (channel catfish), 2110 nucleotides. NCBI's taxonomy places the organism in Eukaryota, Metazoa, Chordata, Actinopteri, Siluriformes, Ictaluridae. The record is from Ensembl.
GGGGAGGGGGGGGGGGGUGCGUGCAUGUUGUAUAGUGUCGUAUUAAGGAUGUGGAGGCACAGUAAUAUGUCCUGACGGGGUUUGGUGGCUGUUGAAUGCUCGUAUUUGCAGCUAAGUCGAGCCGUACAUGCAGAUUUCGGCGUGUUUGAGUGCCAUAGCGGGGAGACGAUUAAAUCAAAACAACCGUGGAGGUCUGACCAAGAACAAACCCGAUCCUAGUCAAAGAUGCUACCUAAACGAUCACUGUAAUAUGUCUAAACAAUGUAGAGAGAAGCUGGCUUUUGUAUGUUUUGACUGUUAAUCUGGUCCAAUAAUUCCCACGUUUAAAACAAAAAUCGCUCAUUCACUAGUAAAGCGUCCAGGAUCCGUAGAACCUCUUACUUUAAUAUUUAAUAUUGACCAUUUUGGUGCCCAAGUGCAGUUCUUCAACGGGAAGUCACUUUCCCCCACCCAUCUCGCUGACUUUCGGUUGAAUCUCAGCUCGGAUAUCGGGUCGCUUAAAAAGAAUCAGACGGAUGCAAAAUCGAGCCUCUGUUUAUCCGAGCUAUUUGUUGUGUAGCUAUUAGAGAGCAGUUAUCGUUCUGUCGAAGAAUCCACUGUCUUCUUGGAAAUGAUUAAAGUAUUGCUGGCUGAUGGCCUGAUUGAGUCUGUUACUGUCCUGAACAGACAGCGCUGAGCUGAUCUGACCAAUGGCUUUGUCUUCUGAGGGAAAUGAAUAAACCGAGGAUGGCGAUUACGUCCUAUCCCGCUGUACGGACGAACUACUGUCGACAGAGUUACGUGUCGGCGUUACAUACGUUAACACGAAAGAACAGUGGGUAAUAAUAAUAAAAAGUCUCCAUUCCCUCAGUCUUUUGAGCUACAGUCUCUUUCAUAAAUGUCACAUAAUUCUUCAUCGUGCAUGGCUGAUGCAUUAUUACGAUGCAGUGUAGUACAGCUACGAAAAACUAAAGCUUUGAAGAUUAUUGAUUCAUCUUUUGGAAUAUAUUCUGGUCAUUGAAGGCGUUAGUGCCCAGUGGUAGAACAAUUUCAACGUGUCAAGGUAGAAACUCGGUAUAUCUCCAUCUUAAAUACUAUUAUAUGAACUAUUUGCCAUGGACCGUAUGUAUGCACUCUUUUUUGUUCUUUUUUUUCUUUUCUUUUUUUUUUUGUACAGUUCCCUUUAAAUAAGAGUUUUCUUUACACAAAUUAGCCAAAUAAUGUUUUGACGGUUAUCGUCUUUUUUUUUUUUUCCCCUUCUUUUUUUUCUUUUUUCCCCCCUUGUAUGUAGUGUUAACAAAUCAAUUUGACAUUUAACCCAUGGUCUGUCUAGUGCUUCUUUUGAGAUGCUAAAUGGUGUUUUUUUUUUUUUUUUCUAUUGAGAUACCAUCAAGUUGCACAAAAUAUAAGUUGUAUUUUUAAAAUAAGUCAUUAUGAGAUGAUGAUUACCUGCCUGGUGUCUCUGCAGUGUGAUCAAGCUGAAACGGACCACAGUGGGCUUGAUUAGCUGUGCUGCUAAAUUGCCGCAGGUAGCUGAGGUAAUUAAUUAGCAGCCAUCUGAGAGCUGAAAAGGAUUGAGUGAUAUAACAGCAUUAACACUGAGGGACUGACUUUUUUUUUUUUUUUUUUUUUUUUUUUUUUUUUAAAUGUCCAGGUACUAGUUAAUAUUUCCAAUAAAGGGGGUGAAUUGUAUACAAUUAUAUGUGGUGUGGAUAUUUCAUUCAGAUCACAAAAUCACUCGGUUUGUGUGGUUAUAUUAAGUAGAAAUGGACAAUGCUGUUGCACAGAACCGAGAACAAUGUUCUCUUUGAACCAACAGCCACAGCUGCUGACGCAAGAUCGUGAUAGAUUCCCUUUGCAAGGCCGCAGUCUUUUGGGUCCUUCUCAAUAACCUGGCUCUAGCUUUUCCUUAACCUUCUGCAAACCCGUGAAUUCUCAUUCUGCCAGUGAGAUCUUUUAACAGACCUUGUGAGAUCUUUUAACAAGUUUCUGGUUCUUAAUACCUACUGCUAAUAAAGAGCUCCUCACAGGCCUCUGGAGGGAUGGUUUCUCCCUUGGAGAUCUUGUUGUAGGGCACUGCAAUCACAGGCGACUGGAGCCUGUUCUUUGGAGGGAUUGUUUCUCACUUGGA